AUAUUGCACAUGGUGUGAAAGCCUGAUCUCGCAAUGCCGCGUGAGUGAUGAAGGCCUUAGGGUUGUAAAGCUCUUUUACCAGGGAAGAUAAUGAGAGUACCUGGAAAAUAAGCUCCGGCUAACUCCGUGCCAGCAGCCGCGGUUAAACGGAGGGAGCUAGCGUUGUUCGGAAAUACUGGGCGUAAAGCGCACGUAGGCGGCGCCGUAAGUCAGGGGUGAAAUCCCGAGGCUCAACCCCGGAACUGCCUUUGAAACUGCAGUGCUAGAAUCUUGGAGAGGUCAGUGGAAUUCCGAGUGUAGAGGUGAAAUUCGUAGAUAUUCGGAAGAACACCAGUGGCGAAGGCGACUGACUGGACAAGUAUUGACGAUGAGGUGCGAAAGCGUGGGGAGCAAACA
RNAcentral lists this ribosomal RNA (396 nucleotides) under uncultured bacterium. RNAcentral's name for it is "partial 16S ribosomal RNA". It matches the Rfam family "Bacterial small subunit ribosomal RNA", at positions 361 to 774 of the family's 1533-position model. The record is from RNAcentral.